Molecule: non-coding RNA, 116 nt
Filed under: pig gut metagenome
Description: Moco (molybdenum cofactor) riboswitch
Rfam family: Molybdenum/Tungsten riboswitch aptamer (Moco RNA motif)
Source: RNAcentral
AACAUGUCUUCGAGCCCUCCUGCCUAAGGCCAUUGGCUAUGGCAUCGGGGCCACGCCGGGAAACCGGCCAAGGGUUGCAAGGGAAACGGUGCAGCCUUCCUGUUUGAAAAGGAGAC